UUUCCUGCAAAACAAGACCAGCCCUGCAGCUACUUACCCAGUGCGACGGAUCCAGCGAUGAAGGUCCCAGCUGUGACGUCAGACAUCCGCCCUCCAAACGCCUGCACACGCCUGCGUUUGCCUGACCACACCCGGGAAACGAAUCAGCUGCCGGAACUGACUUGUACUACGCUGACUAUCAGCCAGCAUUGGGUGGAGUAUAUACUGUCUGUAACAGCUGCAUAAUGCACUUUCAAAGGUUGUUUGAGGUGGUGAUCUCACUUGCAAAAAGCCUGCAAGACACAGUCAGCCUAGGAGAGGACAAAGGACCCAAGUGAUCUCAGGGCGAUUCGCCAUUGGACACUGUUGGCCAAAGUGGACACUGAUGCAUGAGAGAAGGCAACUGGGAGAGCAAGAGGAAGAAAAACAGAAUGAAACAAGCAAACAACAGACUUUUUCAGCUGGCGGCGUGCCAUCACUUAGCUCUCUACUCUGGCUUUUCUCGCUUGUUUGCCUGAAUAUUCUCUCCUUGGGGACACUAAUAUGAAGAAGGGGUGUUUUGUUUCUAAAGUAGCAUUUAUGAUCUGUAUCCCCUCUCAUUCCUUUCUACAUACUCUUCAUUGCUCUAUUCGUUCCCCCGAAAAGAAAAAAAAAGCAGAAGGACGGACUGUACCUUCUAAAGUAACACACAAGUAGAACCAAUCUGGAAUUAUUCAUUUAGAAGUCAGUUACUACAACUUAACCCCCUCAGUUCUCAGACAGACUGGUUUAACAUUGUACUUUUAUAUUGCGGAACUUGUUAUGUUAUUGCUGGUCUAGGCAAACUUUGGCUCUAUAGGUGUUGUAUAAUUAUUAGUUCCACCAAGCUCUGUUUGCCUUAAGUUGGCAGGGUGUGCAGGUACUUGUAGUGCCACAACAACUUGAAAUACCUGUGUCGGCCUUGCAUUAUUAUUCUCAUAAUAAUAAUGCAAGGCCAUUAAUAAUUCAAGGCUUAAACAAAGCAGACUAACUAGAGAGUCCACUUUAUUGCACAAAAGUGAUAUAAAACCAAAAAUUAUAUAUAGAUUAUUCGUCUUUUUUGGGGAUGUAAUAGAGGUCACAUGCUCUGUCUGUGAUAUAAUUGGUACCUAAUGUGUUACAUACUAAUCCCUCUGGUGUGCUACUCUGGAACAGAACAGGCCUUCCCUCCUCCAUUUAAAGGUAGUAUGUGCUGUUCUAGAAGACAUAGAACUCCCAGUGAUUACUAAUGAAUUUCACCUCCAAUGACAUGUAUCCAUUACAACUCUCUGUGGAUACCAAAGAAAAUAAAGAGUUAUC
Molecule: long non-coding RNA, 1296 nt
Organism: Pseudophryne corroboree (corroboree frog)
Lineage: Eukaryota; Metazoa; Chordata; Amphibia; Anura; Myobatrachidae
Exons: 5
Source: RefSeq, a predicted model, not a curated record